GAUGAACGCUGGCGGCGUGCCUAAUACAUGCAAGUCGAGCGAACAGACGAUGCUCUUUCUCCUCUUACGUUACCGGCGGACGGGUGAUUCACACGUCUCUAACCUACCUUUCUGUCUGGUAUAACUUCGCGAAACCUCAUCUAAUACCCGUUAAUAUAUUGAACCUCAUGGUUCUUUAGUCAAUUACCUUUUUUCUGUCCCUUAUAGAUUUUUCCUCGACGCAUUAGCUAGUUGGUAAGGUAACGGCUUACCAAGGCAACGAUGCGUAGCCGACCUGAGAGGGUGAUCGGACACACUGGAAGUGAGACACGGUCCAGACUACUACGGGAGGCAGCAGUAGGGAAUAUUGGGCAAUGGGCGAAAGCGUGACGGAGCAAAGCCGAGUGAGUGAAGAAGGUCUUCGGAUCGUAAAACACUGUUAGUAGGGAAGAAAAAAAGUGUAAGAAAAUAUGGACGUCUUGACGGUACCAAAAGAGAAAGCAACGGCUAACUACGUG
This 497-nucleotide ribosomal RNA is filed under the name uncultured bacterium. RNAcentral's name for it is "partial 16S ribosomal RNA". It matches the Rfam family "Bacterial small subunit ribosomal RNA", at positions 28 to 507 of the family's 1533-position model. The record is from RNAcentral.